RNAcentral lists this long non-coding RNA (1902 nucleotides) under Panax ginseng (ginseng). Its description in RNAcentral is "long non-coding RNA (PGIN_LNC013649)". Lineage: Eukaryota; Viridiplantae; Streptophyta; Magnoliopsida; Apiales; Araliaceae. The record is from RNAcentral.
UAUAAAUUACUACUAUAUUAAAUUGUGAAUUUGAUUACAUCCACAAAAUAAACCAAACUAUCCAUAUAAUUAAGCUACUACCUAAGUAUGUGCAAAAAAGCCUAGGUUCUCCCAAAAUACGUAAAUUCAUCUAACCUUGUACAUAUCCACCGUUCACUCGAGGCUCUACAUGUAGCUGCUCACAUAUGCUGCCCACUCAUCCCGUACUUCAUCAAUUUGUUCUUCUAUGUACGUUAAUCCAUUUCCCUUAUCCCUUUGAAAUAAAAAAAUAACAAAUUUAGUUAGAAGUAGUACAACUUUAGAUGCUGGUUUUUGAUACUCCAUGUAACUUUGGAACAGUUUUCUUGGCUAGUAAUCUAAAUUGAUGUCUCAAGCAUUGAUUAUGAAACAACAUGAAUUAAAGAAUACAAGUGAAACUAAAUUUCUUUCAAAGACAAUGAAGAUGACAAAUUGCAGUCCAUUUUAGGUAUGAAAAUAACUUACUAAAGUAAUGAAGAUGACAAAUUGCAGUCCAUUUUAGGUAUGAAAAUAACUUACUAAAGUAAUGGGCAUGCUCAUCCCCUUCGUACAAAAAACAAAUUAUAGAAAAAAUCAUGCAUGCAUUCUUCAAGAAGGAUUUGAUGUUUCAGAAGUUAAAUAGAUGGUAAAGUAUAUCAUAAACUCCAAGAUAUAAAAAUAUUUAAAAUAAAAUAAAAUUGAACUAAAUUAUUUAAUUAUCAUAAAUUUUCCAUAGAUUUUCUAAGGUUCUCCCCUUCAAUUCUUAAUUAUAACAACAACAAUGCUGGACAAUUCAUUAGUAGCAAUCUACUCCUAUAAAAAGAAAGUUCAGCAUAAUGAACUCAGACAAGUUUGUAUUCAAGUGGCUAUAUCCAUUCUCCAGUCAAGUAUGCAAGUAAUUGAAAAUUGCAUCUCCUAAAAGUUGAAUAAAUUUGCCUCUACUAUCAUGAUAUCGUCUCUUGAUCAUAAAUUUGCAAUAAAUAUGGGUUUGAGAUCCCUGUCCCAAGAACUGAAUUAUGGCAUAUUCUGUAUGAAAGUAAAAGAAAAAGUGCCUACACAACCAAAACAGACACAUUUCUAUAGAAAGCCUCCAUGUAGUCCAAAAUUACAACUGUAACUAGAAGAUGCUCACAAAAGGAUAGUACAGUUGUUAUUUCACAAAUUGAGUAGAAUGGUGUUAUCUUAUACAUUAUUUGGUCAAUAAUAUUCUAGGAAAACAGUUAUUCCUCCUAGACUUAUCAAAAUAAGAAACGGUUAGCACUCCUAGCAUUUAGAGAGAAAAUUAUGGAUUGUUUUUUAACAAAAAGUGCACUAGAAAAUUCUGAGAUGCAAAGAAGGGCAGGAAAUCAUUCUCUAUUUACACAAAGUAACUCUUCAAAGUACUUGAUAAUGCUUGUUCUCAUGCUAUGCCCCACCAAUAAUCAAAAUAUAACCCAAGUCAAUAUUCUUUUAACAAUAAUUGCAAUGUAAUUUUGUACAUCUCAGCUCUAGCAGAAAUGGAAUAAUUCAGUUUAUGUUAGCCUGUUAGAUAUGUAACGUCCCCAAAUUCAGGUACUUGAAACCUGAACUCAGUGUUUUACGAUACAAUUUCUAUGAGCGGAAUAAUACUAAUAAUAACAACAAUAAUAUAAAUAUCAAACUUAAUUUACAUUUAUUAGAGUCUAAUCCGAAGUACACAACCUUAACUACAUUUAUUACAAUACAUGAUAAUAAUAAAUAUCAUUGCCUUAAUAAAGUCGUUCUAUUACAUAGAAUACCAUAACACUUAUUUUGUUUACUUUCCUUUUCUCUUGUUCUUGGCCGAACCUUAUAGUUGUUCACACUUAGCUGAAAAUAUUUAAAUUAAGCAAGGAUGAGCAUUUGAAUGCCCAACAAGUAAUAGCAAUUAUAAAUAUUAGUUCAAAG